This 503-nucleotide ribosomal RNA is filed under the name uncultured bacterium. RNAcentral's name for it is "partial 16S ribosomal RNA". It matches the Rfam family "Bacterial small subunit ribosomal RNA", at positions 30 to 523 of the family's 1533-position model. The record is from RNAcentral.
AUUGAACGCUGGCGGCAGGUCUAACACAUGCAAGUCGGACGGUAGCACAGAGAGCUUGCUCUCGGGUGACGAGUGGCGGACGGGUGAGUAAUGUCUGGGGAUCUGCCCGAUAGAGGGGGAUAACCACUGGAAACGGUGGCUAAUACCGCAUAACGUCGCAAGACCAAAGAGGGGACCUUCGGGCCUCUCACUAUCGGAUGAACCCAGAUGGGAUUAGCUAGUAGGCGGGGUAACGGCCCACCUAGGCGACGAUCCCUAGCUGGUCUGAGAGGAUGACCAGCCACACUGGAACUGAGACACGGUCCAGACUCCUACGGGAGGAAGCAGUGGGGAAUAUUGCACAAUGGGCGCAAGCCUGAUGCAGCCAUGCCGCGUGUAUGAAGAAGGCCUUCGGGUUGUAAAGUACUUUCAGCGGGGAGGAAGGCGAUGUGGUUAAUAACCGUAUCGAUUGACGUUACCCGCAGAAGAAGCACCGGCUAACUCCGUGCCAGCCGCCGCCGUAA